RNAcentral lists this ribosomal RNA (254 nucleotides) under uncultured prokaryote. Its description in RNAcentral is "partial 16S ribosomal RNA". It matches the Rfam family "Bacterial small subunit ribosomal RNA", at positions 524 to 776 of the family's 1533-position model. The record is from RNAcentral.
UACGAAGGUGGCAAGCGUUGUUCGGAUUUACUGGGCGUACAGGGAGCGUAGGCGGUUCGGUAAGCCCUCUGUGAAAUCUCCAGGCUUAACCUGGAACAGUCGGAGGGGACUGCCGGGCUAGAGGACGGGAGAGGAGCGCGGAAUUCCCGGUGUAGCGGUGAAAUGCGUAGAUAUCGAGAGGAACACCUGAGGUGAAGACGGGUUGCUGGGCCGACACUGACGCUGAGUGCGCGAAAGCCAGGGGAGCAAACGGG